This 253-nucleotide ribosomal RNA is filed under the name uncultured prokaryote. Its description in RNAcentral is "partial 16S ribosomal RNA". It matches the Rfam family "Bacterial small subunit ribosomal RNA", at positions 524 to 776 of the family's 1533-position model. The record is from RNAcentral.
UACGUAGGGGGCGAGCGUUGUCCGGAGUUACUGGGCGUAAAGGGCAUGCAGGCGGUCUGACGCGUUUUGUGUGACAGCGGGUGGCUUAACUACCCGAGCAUGCGAAAGACGGUUGGACUUGAGGGCUCGAGAGGGACACGGAAUUCCGGGUGGAGUGGUGAAAUGCGUAGAGAUCCGGAGGAACACCGAAGGCGAAGGCAGCCCCCUGGGCUAACACUGACGCUCAUGCACGAAAGCGUGGGGAGCAAACAGG